AAUGAUGCAGGAUCGACUAUGUCGAAUAAAAUUCUAGGUAGAAUUAUGAUAAUGACAUUGUCUGCCUAUGUGUCUUGACCAAAUUACGUGCCAGCAGUCGCGGUAAUACGUAGAAGACUAGUGUUAUUCAUGUUUAAUCGGUUUAAAGGGUACCUAGACGGUAAAUCAAGCCUAAAAUUAAAUGAAGGGACUAAUUUACUAGAGUUACUUAUGAGGGGGUAUUAAAGUACUGCUGGUGUAGAGAUGAAAUUCUGUCAUACCUCUUUUCAAUAGAAAAACAAUGGCACAGGUAUAGGCGAAAGCAUCCCCUUAUGUGAUAACUGACGUUGAGGGACGAAGGCUUUGUGUAGCGAACAGGAUUAGAUACCCCAGUAGUCAAAGCAGAAAAUGAUGAAUGUCAUAGAUUAGAUAAAUAAGUUUAUUCUAUAAAUGAAAGUGUAAGCAUUCCACCUCAAGAGUAAUUUGGCAACAUUGGAACUGAAAUCAUUAGACCGUUUCUGAAACCAGUAGUGAAGUAUGUUGUUUAAUUUGAUGAUCCGCAAAAAACCUUACCACAAUUUGAAUAUUUAUAUUUUUUUAUUGUUUUCUUUUUAAUUUUCUUCUGAUUUGAUUUUUCUAAAGAAAAAAAGAAAAAGAGGCGAUAUGAUAUAUUUACAAGCGUUGCACGGCUGUCUUCAGUUAAUGUCGCGAGACUUUGGUUAGUUCCAUUAAAUUAACGUAAACCCUUACUUUAUUUUUAUAUAGAGUAGUUCCCCGCUAUAUUGGAUAUGAUAACC
RNAcentral lists this ribosomal RNA (776 nucleotides) under Hypogymnia imshaugii. RNAcentral describes it as "mitochondrial SSU rRNA". It matches the Rfam family "Bacterial small subunit ribosomal RNA", at positions 404 to 1150 of the family's 1533-position model. The record is from RNAcentral. Lineage: Eukaryota; Fungi; Ascomycota; Lecanoromycetes; Lecanorales; Parmeliaceae.